This 262-nucleotide ribosomal RNA is filed under the name uncultured bacterium. RNAcentral's name for it is "partial 16S ribosomal RNA". It matches the Rfam family "Bacterial small subunit ribosomal RNA", at positions 15 to 273 of the family's 1533-position model. The record is from RNAcentral.
AAUCAUGGCUCAGGAUGAACGCUAGCGGCAGGCUUAACACAUGCAAGUCGAGGGGCAGCGCGGGGCGGCAACGUCCUGGCGGCGACCGGCGGAAGGGUGCGUAACGCGUGAGCGACAUGCCCGUUGCCCGGGGACAACCGGUGGAAACGCCGACUAAUACCCGAUGGGACGGAGGCCCUCAUGGGUCUCUGUUGAAAGUUACGGCGGCGACGGAUUGGCUCGCGUCCGAUUAGCUUGUUGGCGGGGUAACGGCCCACCAAGG